GGAUGAACGCUGGCGGCGUGCUUAACACAUGCAAGUCGAACGAAGCACUUUAUUUGAUUUCCUUCGGGACUGAUUAUUUUGUGACUGAGUGGCGGACGGGUGAGUAACGCGUGGGUAACCUGCCUUGUACAGGGGGAUAACAGUUGGAAACGGCUGCUAAUACCGCAUAAGCGCACAGCAUCGCAUGAUGCAGUGUGAAAAACUCCGGUGGUAUAAGAUGGACCCGCGUUGGAUUAGCUAGUUGGUGAGGUAACGGCCCACCAAGGCGACGAUCCAUAGCCGACCUGAGAGGGUGACCGGCCACAUUGGGACUGAGACACGGCCCAAACUCCUACGGGAGGCAGCAGUGGGGAAUAUUGCACAAUGGGCGAAAGCCUGAUGCAGCGACGCCGCGUGAGCGAAGAAGUAUUUCGGUAUGUAAAGCUCUAUCAGCAGGGAAGAUAAUGACGGUACCUGACUAAGAAGCACCGGCUAAAUACGUG
RNAcentral lists this ribosomal RNA (482 nucleotides) under uncultured bacterium. RNAcentral's name for it is "partial 16S ribosomal RNA". It matches the Rfam family "Bacterial small subunit ribosomal RNA", at positions 27 to 507 of the family's 1533-position model. The record is from RNAcentral.